UUCAUGAAUCGUCACAAGUUUCACAAAUCAAAGACACAGUUGACGACAUGUUUCGCAAAUAAAGUACAUAGUUCAACACAAGUUUCACAAAUUAAGGACACAGUUCAUCACAUGUUUCUCGAAGCGAAGGCAUUGUUCAUAACUAGUUUUUCAAAAGUAAGGCCUUAUUGAGUCACACCGGCCAUUUUCCUUUCUUGUCAUGUGCAUGAUCCUCCUCUUGGGCUUCACGGGCCCUUGCAAGCUUUAUUGCUCUCUCCUCUUGACGAGCAAUCUUCUCCUUGCGUGCUCUCUCCUCUUCAUGCUUCUUUCGCUCCAUCCUCUCCUUUUCACGACGCUCUUCAUCCAAGCCUCUCUGUAAUGCUUCUUCAAACAACCGCUGCCUCCUUAGACAAUCUCGAUGUUGAUCUUUCUUAACAUCUUCUGGCACAUCAUGAUCUAUCCAUCUGAAGUACUUACAAAGUGGAGGCGGCGACUACGUACGUACAAAUAAAGAACAAAUGUGGUCAUUAGUAAGAUAGAUUCAAUGGUUGACGACAUGUUUGAACUUGAACAACUUACCGGCGGUACAUCAUAGGCGUGAGCUGGACGAGGACGAUCGUAGGCAUAGUUGGG
Molecule: long non-coding RNA, 612 nt
Filed under: Triticum aestivum (bread wheat)
Lineage: Eukaryota; Viridiplantae; Streptophyta; Magnoliopsida; Poales; Poaceae
Description: long non-coding RNA (TAES_LNC008312)
Source: RNAcentral